MicroRNA precursor from Oreochromis aureus, 70 nucleotides. The record is from Ensembl. NCBI's taxonomy places the organism in Eukaryota, Metazoa, Chordata, Actinopteri, Cichliformes, Cichlidae.
UAAGGACGAGUAAUGCAGAGGUUAGCGGGAAAAUCUUCAAAGGGUAAAUCUCUCUUUGCUUGUCUCCUCU